This 74-nucleotide transfer RNA is filed under the name Bradypus variegatus (Brown-throated sloth). RNAcentral describes it as "tRNA-Gln". The record is from RNAcentral. Lineage: Eukaryota; Metazoa; Chordata; Mammalia; Pilosa; Bradypodidae.
UAGAAUAUGGUGUAAUGUGGGCAGCACGGAGGACUUUGAAUUCUCAGGUACGGGUUCGAUUGGUGUAUUUCUAG